Molecule: ribosomal RNA, 460 nt
Filed under: uncultured bacterium
Lineage: Bacteria
Description: partial 16S ribosomal RNA
Rfam family: Bacterial small subunit ribosomal RNA
Source: RNAcentral
CCUACGGGAGGCAGCAGUGAGGAAUAUUGGUCAAUGGACGAGAGUCUGAACCAGCCAAGUAGCGUGAAGGAUGACUGCCCUAUGGGUUGUAAACUUCUUUUAUAAAGGAAUAAAACGAGGCACGUGUGCCUUUUUGCAUGUACUUUAUGAAUAAGGAUCGGCUAACUCCGUGCCAGCAGCCGCGGUAAUACGGAGGAUCCGAGCGUUAUCCGGAUUUAUUGGGUUUAAAGGGAGCGUAGAUGGGUUGUUAAGUCAGUUGUGAAAGUUUGCGGCUCAACCGUAAAAUUGCAAUUGAUACUGGCAGUCGUGAGUACAGUUGAGGUAGGCGGAAUUCGUGGUGUAGCGGUGAAAUGCUUAGAUAUCACGAAGAACCCCGAUUGCGAAGGCAGCUUACUAAACUGUGACUGACAUUGAUGCUCGAAAGUGUGGGUAUCAAACAGGAUUAGAAACCCCUGUAGUC